GAUGAACGCUGGCGGCGUGCCUAAUACAUGCAAGUCGAGCGAACGGACGAGAAGCUUGCUUCUCUGAUGUUAGCGGCGGACGGGUGAGUAACACGUGGAAAACCUACCUAUAAGACUGGGAUAACUUCGGGAAACCGGAGCUAAUACCGGAUGAUAUUUUGAACCGCAUGGUUCAAAAGUGAAAGACGGUCUUGCUGUCACUUAUAGAUGGAUCCGCGCUGCAUUAGCUAGUUGGUAAGGUAACGGCUUACCAAGGCAACGAUGCGUAGCCGACCUGAGAGGGUGAUCGGCCACACUGGAACUGAGACACGGUCCAGACUCCUACGGGAGGCAGCAGUAGGGAAUCUUCCGCAAAGGGCGAAAGCCUGACGGAGCAACGCCGCGUGAGUGAUGAAGGUCUUCGGAUCGUAAAACUCUGUUAUUAGGGAAGAACAUAUGUGUAAGUAACUGUGCACAUCUUGACGGUACCUAAUCAGAAAGCCACGGCUAACUACGUG
Molecule: ribosomal RNA, 497 nt
Filed under: uncultured bacterium
Lineage: Bacteria
Description: partial 16S ribosomal RNA
Rfam family: Bacterial small subunit ribosomal RNA
Source: RNAcentral